AAGUUCUCGCCUCCUGCUCCGCCAUGGCUCCCAAAGGCAGCUCCAAACAGCAGUCCGAGAAGGACCUGCUCCUGCAGGAUUUCAGCCGCAAUCUCUCGGCCAAGUCCUCCGCGCUCUUCUUCGGGAACGCGUUCAUCGUGUCCGCCAUCCCCAUCUGGUUAUACUGGAGAAUAUGGCAUAUGGAUCUUAUUCAGUCUGCUGUUUUGUAUAGUGUGAUGACCCUAGUAAGCACAUACUUGGUAGCCUUUGCAUACAAGAAUGUGAAAUUUGUUCUCAAGCACAAAGUAGCGCAGAAGAGGGAGGAUGCUGUUUCCAAAGAAGUGACUCGAAAACUUUCUGAAGCUGAUAAUAGAAAGAUGUCUCGGAAGGAGAAAGAUGAAAGAAUCUUGUGGAAGAAGAAUGAAGUUGCUGAUUAUGAAGCUACAACAUUUUCCAUCUUCUAUAACAACACUCUGUUCCUGGUCGUGGUCAUUUUUGCUUCCUUCUUCAUAUUGAAGAACUUCAACCCUACAGUGAACUACAUCUUGUCCAUAAGUGCUUCAUCAGGACUCAUCGCCCUCCUGUCUACUGGCUCCAAAUAGACCAUGUCAGCUUCUCCCCCUGGCUUUGUGUCUAUGGGUGGCCUGUGGUAUAUGGAAAAGUCGCAGGGUGGUCAGGGUGGGAGACACACAAGAUGUUUUCAUAGUCUAGAGCCUUUAAAAAACCCAGCAGAAUGUAACUCAGUAUUUGUUUAUUGGCUGUUUUUGACAGAUUGUUGAAAUUAAAUGAAUUGAAAGGGAAAAAAAAAAAAAAAA
RNA transcript from Macaca mulatta (Rhesus monkey), 794 nucleotides. It is a transcript of the gene named translocon-associated protein subunit gamma pseudogene, with no coding region annotated. The record is from RefSeq and is a predicted model, not a curated record. Lineage: Eukaryota; Metazoa; Chordata; Mammalia; Primates; Cercopithecidae.